Molecule: transfer RNA, 70 nt
Filed under: Candidatus Jorgensenbacteria bacterium
Lineage: Bacteria; Candidatus Joergenseniibacteriota
Description: tRNA-OTHER
Rfam family: tRNA
About the family: Transfer RNA (tRNA) molecules are approximately 80 nucleotides in length. Their secondary structure includes four short double-helical elements and three loops (D, anti-codon, and T loops).
Source: RNAcentral
GGCGGGAUAGCUUAGAGGCAGAGCAUCCUAUUCAAAUGGGAUUACGGAGGUUCGAAUCCUUCUCCCGCCG